RNAcentral lists this ribosomal RNA (620 nucleotides) under Mandarina hahajimana. Its description in RNAcentral is "partial 12S ribosomal RNA". Lineage: Eukaryota; Metazoa; Mollusca; Gastropoda; Stylommatophora; Camaenidae. The record is from RNAcentral.
GUACAUAAUUUUAGAUAUAUUCAUUUUUUAUACAUAAUAAAAGUAAUUACAUUUAAGUCCUUCUUUAUACACUUUUUUCAAAUUGUCUUUUGCUACAUUAAUGUAACUCGCCUAAACUUCUUGAUAAUCUGCACCUUGAUCUGUAUUAUUAGGUAUUGACCUAUUAUGAUAAUAUAUUUAUAUAUUAUCGGGUUACGACGGCAUACAAAAUAUUACAUGAAGUAGAUUACCUUGGUGGUUAUCAAUUAUUUGGUAAGUUCCCCUAAAUUUUAAAAUUACCGUCAUGCUAUUUGAGUUUUAAUCAAGAAGAUUUUAGUCCUCAGUAUUUAAAAAUGGAUAUUGUAUAAAAGGGUAUCUAAUCCUUGUUUAUGAUCAAUAUUUUAAAAUAUAUUAGAUUAUAUAAGAUUAUAAAUGCUAUUUCACCAAAUAUUGACAUAUAAGCUUUAUAUACAUUAUAUAGUUUAUUACUAUAAAAGUCUGACCGCGACUGCUGGCACUUUUUUAGUCAUAGUAUUCAUAAUUGGUUUAUUCUUACUUUCGUAAAUUUGUAAAUUCUCUUUCCUGGUAAAGAUCUUUUUAGUACCAUAAGUAUUCCUAUUUUUUAUAAACAGUUCACCAUA